RNAcentral lists this ribosomal RNA (534 nucleotides) under Timdalia intricata. Its description in RNAcentral is "partial large subunit ribosomal RNA". It matches the Rfam family "Eukaryotic large subunit ribosomal RNA", at positions 366 to 919 of the family's 3401-position model. Lineage: Eukaryota; Fungi; Ascomycota; Lecanoromycetes. The record is from RNAcentral.
GAAAAGCACUUUGGAAAGAGAGUUAAAAAGCACGUGAAAUUGUUGAAAGGGAAGCGCUUGCAACCAGACUUGGCCCCGGGUGAUCAGCCGGUCCCUCGACCGGCGUACUUUUCCGCGGCCGGGCCAGCAUCGGUUCAGGCGGCCGGACAAAGGCCCCCGGAAAGUGGCUCCCCUCGGGGAGUGUUAUAGCCGGGGGGGUCAUGCGGCCCGCCGGGACCGAGGUCCGCGCUUCGGCUAGGAUGCUGGCGUAAUGGCCGUAAGCGACCCGUCUUGAAACACGGACCAAGGAGUUUAACAUUUAUGCGAGUGUUUGGGUGUCAAACCCAUGCGCGCAAUGAAAGUGAACGGAGGUGGGAACCCCUCCGGGGCGCACCAUCGACCGAUCCUGAUGUCUUCGGAUGGAUUUGAGUAUGAGCAUAGCUGUUGGGACCCGAAAGAUGGUGAACUAUGCCUGAAUAGGGUGAAGCCAGAGGAAACUCUGGUGGAGGCUCGCAGCGGUUCUGACGUGCAAAUCGAUCGUCAAAUUUGGGUAUA